GAGCUUGCUCUUGUGGAUCAGUGGCGAACGGGUGAGUAACACGUGAGCAACCUGCCCCUGACUCUGGGAUAAGCGCUGGAAACGGCGUCUAAUACUGGAUAUGUGACGUGACCGCAUGGUCUGCGUUUGGAAAGAUUUUUCGGUUGGGGAUGGGCUCGCGGCCUAUCAGCUUGUUGGUGAGGUAAUGGCUCACCAAGGCGUCGACGGGUAGCCGGCCUGAGAGGGUGACCGGCCACACUGGGACUGAGACACGGCCCAGACUCCUACGGGAGGCAGCAGUGGGGAAUAUUGCACAAUGGGCGAAAGCCUGAUGCAGCAACGCCGCGUGAGGGAUGACGGCCUUCGGGUUGUAAACCUCUUUUAGCAGGGAAGAAGCGAAAGUGACGGUACCUGCAGAAAAAGCGCCGGCUAACUACGUGCCAGCAGCCGCGGUAAUACGUAGGGCGCAAGCGUUAUCCGGAAUUAUUGGGCGUAAAGAGCUCGUAGGCGGUUUGUCGCGUCUGCUGUGAAAUCCC
This 515-nucleotide ribosomal RNA is filed under the name Microbacterium sp. AmSamHH3ii. Its description in RNAcentral is "bacterial SSU rRNA". It matches the Rfam family "Bacterial small subunit ribosomal RNA", at positions 76 to 603 of the family's 1533-position model. Lineage: Bacteria; Bacillati; Actinomycetota; Actinomycetes; Micrococcales; Microbacteriaceae. The record is from RNAcentral.